This 250-nucleotide ribosomal RNA is filed under the name uncultured bacterium. RNAcentral's name for it is "partial 16S ribosomal RNA". It matches the Rfam family "Bacterial small subunit ribosomal RNA", at positions 796 to 1041 of the family's 1533-position model. The record is from RNAcentral.
CACGCCCUAAACGAUGUCAACUGGUUGUUGUGAGGCUCGACCUUGCAGUAAUGCAGUUAACACAUUAAGUGUACCGCCUGGGGAGUACGGUCGCAAGAUUAAAACUCAAAGGAAUAGACGGGGACCCGCACAAGCGGUGGAGCAUGUGGUUUAAUUCGACGAUACACGAAGAACCUUACCUGGACUUGACAUAGUAAGAACUUUCUAGAGAUAGAUUGGUGUCUGCUUGCAGAAACUUAUAUACAGGUGC